GGGGCAAGAUCUAAAGAGGCGCUUUCAGACCUGUGUAGGAUUGGCAGCGGCGACAUCCCUCGCUCAAAGACCGAGUUGAAGUGGAUCUGAGACUUGUCUCCCACUUCUUAGCUGCGCAUCCUGCAAAUAAACUCUGACUUUGCUGCAGAUACCUGCAGUCAAGGGGUUGUUCAGGGAAUCCACACCCUUGUGGAAGGAGUCGGAUGGACAGGAAUUGAGUCCCUGACUUUGCCAGGUACAAGCCAUGUGACUCUAGGCAAGUUAUUUCGUCUCUCUGCUCAAUCUUCACAUCCCUAAAAUGGAGAUAACACUGGAGUUAUAGCACAGUGAUCUUCUGGAGCCAGUAAGAAGAUGUAUGUGAAGUGUGGAUGCCAGUCUGGCAUGAGGUGACUCAGCAAGAGUCAUCUGGUCCUGCUCCUAGCAGUGUUCAUCGGCAACGUCGAAAUGAUCAAACUCAGUGACUUUUCUCAGCUCUUCCCUCCUCGCCUCCCUGCAGCGUCUGGUUUCUCUGCUGCCCAAGUUUCCGCUGAAGCUCUCCAGACCCGCACCUUUUAUGAGCCCUUUCUGCCCUCUCUGCCGGCUGACUUCUCCUCUCUCACACCCAGCAUCCAUCUUCAGAUGUUGCUCUAGUGUCCGUUCUCAGACCUUGCCAGUUCUCACCGUGCCCUCCCCUCUC
Long non-coding RNA from Bos taurus (domestic cattle), 676 nucleotides. The record is from Ensembl. Lineage: Eukaryota; Metazoa; Chordata; Mammalia; Artiodactyla; Bovidae.